This 542-nucleotide ribosomal RNA is filed under the name uncultured bacterium. RNAcentral's name for it is "bacterial SSU rRNA". It matches the Rfam family "Bacterial small subunit ribosomal RNA", at positions 8 to 523 of the family's 1533-position model. The record is from RNAcentral.
AGAGUUUGAUCCUGCGGGCUCAGAACGAACGCUGGCGGUGCGCCUAACACAUGCAAGUCGAACGGGGUUGCAGUGUGAAGUUUGCUUCGGCAGGUGGAACGCUGUAACUUAGUGGCGAACGGGUGAGUAACACAUAGGUAACCAACUUCCCUUAGGAUCGGGAUACCCCCGAGAAAUCGGGCUCAAUACCGAAUAUUAUCCCAGGGAAAAAUCUUCUGGGAUGAAAGCUUCGAGCAAUCGUAGCACCUGAGGAUGGGCCUGUGGCCUAUCAGCUAGUUAGGGGUGAGGUAACGGCCCACCAAGGCAAAGACGGGUAGCCGGACUGAGAGGUCGAACGGCCACACUGGAACUGAGACACGGUCCAGACUCCUACGGGAGGCAGCAGUGGGGAAUUUUGGGCAAUGGGCGAAACUAGCCUGACCCAGCAACGCCGCGUGGAGGACGAAGAUCUUCGGAUCGUAAACUCCUGUCUAGAGGGAAGAAGAAAGUGACGGUACCUCUGGAGGAAGCCCCGGCUAACUCCGUGCCAGCAGCCGCGGUAA